Molecule: ribosomal RNA, 459 nt
Filed under: uncultured bacterium
Lineage: Bacteria
Description: partial 16S ribosomal RNA
Rfam family: Bacterial small subunit ribosomal RNA
Source: RNAcentral
CCUACGGGAGGCAGCAGUGAGGAAUAUUGGUCAAUGGGCGGGAGCCUGAACCAGCCAAGCCGCGUGAGGGAAGAAGGUACAGCGUAUCGUAAACCUCUUUUGUCAGGGAACAAAGGCGGGGACUAGUCCCCGGAUGAGGGUACCUGAAGAAAAAGCAUCGGCUAACUCCGUGCCAGCAGCCACGGUAAUACGGAGGAUGCGAGCGUUAUCCGGGUUUAUUGGGUUAAAAGGGUGCGCAGGCGGCCUGUUCAGUCAGCGGUCAAAGCCCGGGGCUCAACCCCGGCCCGCCGUUGAAACUGGCAGUCUCGAGUUGGAGAGAAGUAUGCGGAAUGCGCGGUGUAGCGGUGAAAUGCAUAGAUAUCGCGCAGAACUCCGAUUGCGAAGGCAGCAUGCCGGCUCCACACUGACGCUGAGGCACGAAAGCGUGGGUAUCGAACAGGAUUAGAUACCCGGGUAGUC